GUGGGAUAAACACCUGCGUUUUUGCCCCUGGGUGUGCGAUUGCCCAUCCCUCCCAUGUUGGGUACAUUGGAAGGGCAGAGCCUUCCCGAAGUAUCUCACUUCACUCCAGGACGAGCCUGUGUGGCAGGCAUCUGCCAUGUUCAAAGCUCUGAUUGAUGGGCUGGAGGAGAAGCUGUCACAAUGUCAGAGGGACCUGGAGGCUGUGAACUCCAGGCUCUGUGGGGCAGAGCUGAGCCCAGACACCAGGAAGUCUCUGGAGAAGGAGAAAAACAGCCUGAUGAACAAAGCCUCCAACUAUGAAAAGGAGCUGAAGUUGCUUCGGCAGGAAAACCGGAAGAACAUGCUGCUAUCUGUGGCCAUCUUCAUCCUCCUGAGCCUCAUCUAUGCCUGCUGGACCAUGUGAGCUUGAGAUUUCUCCAGUCUGCAACCUGGUCACAACCAAGCAGGCCCUUCAGGCCUCAAGAGGACCAACCACAGCUUUCUCCCCCUUCACCUUUAGCCCCAGCUGUUUUAUCCAAGCCAGUCCCAGACCACAAAAUACCAAGGACAAUCAGCAGCAGCCCCAGCACAGAGCCACGCAGGCAUUAAAAAUAUGUUUAUCUUUAAUGAUCCAAGAUUUUGCAAGACACACUGAUAUACUUAGAACUGGGUGGAAAGACAGCAUUUUAGCAGUGCUGCUGCCAACCCGGGUGGGGAGGGGGACUGGAUGCUGGCUGGAGACCCGCCCCACCCAGGUGGAGCCAAUCGCAACCUCACAGGGAGCCUCAGUACCCUAUCUCCAUGGAAACCAGUCUAGCACUGGGGUGGGGCCUUAGGGAGCCUAUACAAACAUCUGACAGGCAUCCUCCCCACCCAAAGCUACUGCCCAGCUUUCCCUCUUCCCCCUCCACCACCACAGAGGAAAUAGUGACCAUAAAAUGACAGAGUGACUACCCCCUACUGGGGAAUGAAGAGGGGGAAGGGUAGCAAGGUAGCUGUGGCAAAUGAAGUUGUCACAACUGCCAAAGGGUGGGAUGCAAACACUCCCCCUCCACCACCAAAAGGUACCAUCUGUUCCGGUGGGACCACAGAGAAAGGCAGGGCUUCAAGGAUGCUCCCUCCCCUUCCACAGCUGCCCACAGUUCAGGUCCAAAGGGGAUGGGGCCCAGGAAGCCUCUAUCAUCAAGGAAGCAGUCACACACAACCAAAGGCGGUGCUACCUGCCUCCUGAUGUGGUAUCAGGGACCCAGGGCCCUCACACCUCCCUUCCCGGCCUGCGGGACUGUCAGAGGUCUAGGCUGCGAAGAAUUCCAGGAAAGACCAAGACGGUGUGGGACGAGACAAGAAAAUCUCCAACUUGGCAUCAAAACAGAGCAAGUUCAAAGAAACAAAAUCUUGAUUUGUACAGCAGCUGCUCCCGGCCAGCUCACGACAGUGGGCCUUCACCCACUCA
This is an RNA transcript of Phyllostomus discolor (pale spear-nosed bat), 1432 nucleotides long. It is a transcript of the gene named coiled-coil domain containing 167, with no coding region annotated. The record is from RefSeq and is a predicted model, not a curated record. NCBI's taxonomy places the organism in Eukaryota, Metazoa, Chordata, Mammalia, Chiroptera, Phyllostomidae. The transcript is spliced from 5 exons.